AGAGUUUGAUCCUGGCUCAGGAUGAACGCUAGCGGCAGGCUUAAUACAUGCAAGUCGAGGGGCAGCAGGUCUGUAGCAAUACAGAUGCUGGCGACCGGCAAACGGGUGCGGAACACGUACACAACCUUCCUUUAAGUGGGGGAUAGCCCAAAGAAAUUUGGAUUAAUACCCCUUAAGAUUAUGAGAUGGCAUCUUUUUAUAAUUAAAGCUCCGGCGCUUGGAGAUGGGUGUGCGGCUGAUUAGGUAGUUGGUGAGGGUAACGGCCCACCAAGCCUGCGAUCAGUAACUGGUGUGAGAGCACGACCAGUCACACGGGCACUGAGACACGGGCCCGACUCCUACGGGAGGCAGCAGUAAGGAAUAUUGGUCAAUGGACGCAAGUCUGAACCAGCCAUGCCGCGUGGAGGAUGAAGGUCCUCUGGAUUGUAAACUUCUUUUAUCUGGGAAGAAAUGUAUUUUUUCUAAAGUGUUUGACGGUACCAGAUGAAUAAGCACCGGCUAACUCCGUGCCAGCAGCCGCGAUAAUACGGAGGGUGCAAGCGUUAUCCGGAUUCACUGGGUUUAAAGGGUGCGUAGGUGGGCAGGUAAGUCAGUGGUGAAAUCUCCGGGCUUAACCCGGAAACUGCCAUUGAUACUAUCUGUCUUGAAUACCGUGGA
RNAcentral lists this ribosomal RNA (657 nucleotides) under uncultured bacterium. RNAcentral describes it as "bacterial SSU rRNA". It matches the Rfam family "Bacterial small subunit ribosomal RNA", at positions 8 to 655 of the family's 1533-position model. The record is from RNAcentral.